Molecule: long non-coding RNA, 13282 nt
Filed under: Panax ginseng (ginseng)
Lineage: Eukaryota; Viridiplantae; Streptophyta; Magnoliopsida; Apiales; Araliaceae
Description: long non-coding RNA (PGIN_LNC010338)
Source: RNAcentral
UCUGGACCGUCACUCCGUUCCCCGACUUGUCCUAGCUACAUUCUCAUUUCCUGAAGAGAACAGUGAAAGAAAGGGUGAGCUCAACUAGCCCAGUAAGAAAUAUUAUGACUAAGAUAAUGCAGAAUAAAUUAUCAUUAGUCUUCAACAAUGUUAAACUGAUAAAAUACAAUAGACAUCAAGUUUAACUGCAGCGGAAUAAGCAAUCCAUUAGAAGAGUCAAGUAGAGCAUAAAAUCUACUAUCUUUUAUGAUUUAAAAAUGUUUUCAUCAAUUUUUAUCGCUGAGACUCAGCUUAAUAAAUAAACCACGUCAUCGAAUCAUCCCUGCACUAUGGCCAAGGAUAUUCAUUAAAUCAUCAAUGGUCAUGACUAUACCGAAUAAUCCAUAGUCAUAAUCAUACCAAAAACUGUUCAUCAAUGCACUACAUGCCACUAAGGACUUUUACCAAACCAUUCGUCACAUUACGGUCAUGAUUAUACCAAAUAAUUCCUAGUCAUAAUCAUACCAAGUCCAUCUAUGCACGUAAGCCAAAGAUGACUUUCAACAUAAUAUAAACAUGAGGAUGAUGACAAUUACAUAAUAAUUCAAUAAAACAAGUUCAAGAAUUAAUUUUAAAGAUCUAUCAGUUAAUUUAUCCUGAACUCAAUAACGUCCAAAUUGUCAACAUGAUACUUCUUUAUGGAGUAAAAUUCAAGAAUAAUAUUCAUGCAACAAAAAUAAUUUGGACAGAAAAGAAUCAAUUUUUCGUCGUGAAUAGUACCCCGUGAAUAGUACUUCGGGAAUAGUACUUCGUGAAUAGUACCCCGACAUAAAAAGUACUCCAAAUACCCGAGUGAAUAAUAUUCGGGUGAAUAGUAAUUUGGGUGAAUAGUUACCCGUGAAUAGUAACUCGUGAAUAGUAUUCCGACAUGAAAAGUGCCCCGAAUACCCGAGUGAAUAAUACUAGAGUGAAUAGUAACCGGGUGAAUAGUAACCCGUGAAUAGUAACUCGUAACAGAAAAUACCAAAUAAAAUGAUAUUUAAUGAUGAGUACAAAAGAAAUGAUAUCUCAUAUGAGUAUAAUAGAAUAUACGAAAGUGCAAAUGGAUUUUCAUCCGCCAUGCGGUAAUCCACGUAAACAGAUCAUUUCCACAAUUUAAUAAAGAAUGAAUACGAAAGGUCAUUCACCAUGCAUGUGGUAAUCCACAUAGACAGGUUAUUCCAACAGAAUAAUAAAGAAUGGAAUAACAGAAGGAUUCACCAUGCGUGUGAUAGACUACACAGACAGGUUAUUCCCAACAAAAUAAUAAAUAAUGGAACCAGGUCAUUCGUAAACGCACAGACAGGAUAUUCCGACAGAAUAAUAAAUAAUGGAACCAGGUCCGGCGUAAACGCACAGACAUGAUAUUCCGAUAAAAUAAUAAAUAAUGGAACCAGGUCCGGCGUAAACGCACAGACAGGUUAUUCAGACAGAAUAAUAAAGAAAGGAAUAAUAGAAGAAUUUCACCAUGUAUACGGUACUUUGCAUAUACAGGUUAUUCCAACAUAAUAAUAAAGAAUGGAAUAACAGAAGAAUUUCACCAUGUAUGCGGUACUUUGCAUAUCCAGGUUAUUCUAACAGAAUAAUAAGGAAUGGAAUAACAAUAGCUCUCUUCAUGAAUACGAAAGAAAUAAUACCCCUUACCUUAGAAUAAAGCUGGAUACUGGAAUAGAAAUGUAGCAGACUUCUCUUCUUCUUUCUCUCUAUAAUUGCUCUAAAGCUUUUGUGAAUUGGUGAGAAAUGAAGGAAGAAUGGGCUUCUAUUUAUAGAAAAAUAUAGUUUCGAUAAUUUCAUGUUUUGGGGCUCAAAAUAUUACAGUCUAAUACGUUCCUCUUUUCCUUCAUUUUUAAUUUAGUCCUGCAAGCAUUAUCAAACUUGCACCACCUCCCCUAAUAGUAAAUAAUGUGAUUCAAUAGUUCAAUCAUGUGAACCAAUAGUUAUAAUCAUGUGAAAAUAUAAAUUACAGUAUAGUACCUCCAUCUAUACCUCCAUUUUUAACUUAGUCAUGCAAGUAUUAUCAAUAUUGCACCAACUCCCCUAAUAGUAAGUGAAUCUGACUCAAUAGUACACACAUGUGAACAAAUAGUUAUAUGAGCAUGUGAAUUAGUAGCAAUUAAUUGCUCAUUUAUCUGAUAAAUUACCCAUUUUAUCAAUAUAACCCCCAGAUAUCAAUUAUCAUCGAAAUAGAUGUCGAUUUCAACUAACACCAAUAAUCCCAACACAAUGGAACUAUCAAAUUCAUCUUUAAUCAACACGAACUUAUUCAUCAUUAAUAUUAUAACUCACAAUAUUUAACAACCAGGUCAUUCCCAGGAAAGAGAGGGCUUUCCGAUAAGAAUUUCUCAUUAUUGGCGCGCAAUUAGGUGACCAAACCUCUCCUUGACAGAACUUCUAGACAUUAUAAAUAUUGCAAUUUAAUAAUAUGAAUAACUUUGUCGUCUCAAUUAUUAAUUUAAUAAUAUAUCAUAUAAUGCAGAUGAUACUGCGACAAUAAUCGAAUCAAUAAUAUGAGAGAUAUGAUGCAGCAAUUACUAUAGCAAUAAUUGAGUAUAACUGAGUGACUUCUCACGUAAGCAUCAAUAAUCAAUACCGUGUGUUACUAUGCAAUCACGCGUAUUACUGUACUUUUAUUAUCGGGUAGUUCAACAGUUUUAACGGUAACACUUCCGCUGUUAUUUUAUAAAAUGAUAAUUUUGUCGUUUUCUUACUGCGACAAUGAUUGUGUCGUCGUACGGAUAUUCCCCGACAAAAAGAAUAUUCCCCGACCAAACGAAUAUUAUAUAACAACUUGCAUACUUUGCAAAAUUUAUAAAUAAUACCCACAACUAUAUCAUUAUAUCAAAUCCACACCAUAAUAUUCAAAAAAAUACUUCGAGAUACUUAAAUCUUUAUUCAUAAAAUCUGGGGUCUCACAAUCUCCCCUCCUUAUGAAAUUUUUCCCUCAAAAUUUACGUACGUACCUGGUAUGCCGAAGAGAUGAGGAUACCUUGACUUCAUUUCAGAUUCUAACUCUUGAGGUAUAACCUUUGAGUGUUGAAUACGAUUCUUCUUAUCCAAGAUUUUAACACGUAUCUCCUCAUAUGUUAAAUCUUCUGCUAUCUCGUCUAGUUCUAAUUUAAUAAUGUGGUUCGGGUCGUCCACCUAUUUACGUAACAUCGAUACGUUAAAAACGUUAUGAACACGCGACAUACUUGGCGGUAAAACGACUCUAUAGGCCACAAUUCCGAUUCGAUCAAGGAUUUCAAAUGGGCCAAUAAAAUUGAGGGUUGAGAUUUCCUCUCUUCAUCGAUUCUUGCUUCUAGAAUAACGCCCUCUUGAACCUUCUUCUUCACAUUCAUCAGCUUUGAGUAUGUAGCUUGCAUGGCUUUAACUUUAUCGAUUAAAGUCAAUUCUACUCGUAUAUUCGUUAUCUUCACGUGGGUCCCUAGAGUCUUUAACUCUAUCUUCAUCAUUUGUAAGUUAUACGAAAUGGGUCUUUGUGUUAACAAUAUCGCACUCGUAAACGCAUACGAUCUUUUAUUCAACGCGUUAGCUACCACGUUCGCUCUUCCACAAUGAUAUUGAAUGGUACGAUCGUAAUCUUCAACAGCUCGAGCCAACGUCUUUGGCGCAUUAUACGUUCGUUUUGGUUGAAGAAAUAUUUAAGGGUUGAAGAAAUGGGUUUUGUACUGGGGUCAAUACAAAAUUCAAUUUCACGCUCUAGAGGUAGGCUAAGAAGUCUUCAAGAAUACGUCAGGAAAUUUAUUAACGAUAGAAAUAUCAUUCAAAACUGUGACUCUCAUCCAAGACUUGGAUAACACAUGUAAUGAAGGUUUCUCCUAACGGAGUUUCAACCAAUAAGUCAAAGUUUAACUUCUCCAAAGUCAAAUUUAAAUGUUGAACGCAAGAAAAAGAGAUAAAAUAAUGGUUAGAACCGGUAUCUAAUAAAGUAUAGACUUCGCAAGAAUUUAUAAUUAACUAACCCAUGCUAACUUUUUCGGGUCACUAGCUUUUUGAGAAGUCACAAAAAAUGCUCUUCCUGAAACUACCGACUUUGUUUUGUCCGUAUCCACCUUUGGUACCACCGUCCCAGCUGGACUUGACUUUGGUGCACGACAAAAUCGGGCUAGGUGACCUUUUCCAGAAUUGUAACAUGGUUUGCACUGCAUCACGCAGUUUGGACUGAUAUAUCCCUCCCCUCCGCAUUUAAAACAUACGACCGGCGAUCGUUCUCCUUCCUUUGAAAUGGGUGCUGGUGCUGCUGUCUUUCCAUCAUUAUUGAACCUUCUCUUCUUAAAAUUUCUACUUCUAUUAUCUUGGCCAUGAUUACCACCGAAGUGGUUACCAUUCUUGGGAUGAUAAUUUCCCCCACGAUGGUUAUCAUUGUUUUGAUGACCGUUGCCACCGGUAUGAUUAUUAUCGUGUUGUUGGUCGUUGCCUUUUGGUUGUCCUGACUCAUUAUCGCGCUCCAAUAACUGAGCCCUAUUAACAAUAUCUGAAUACAAACAAAGUUUGUAGAAAUGAGGUAUUGAUGUAUCUCGAGUUUCAAACCUCUUAGAAACAUUCGCGUCAUUCUCUCCUCAUUAUCAACUAAGUGGGACGCAAACCAGGACGGCUCGGCAAACUUGGCUUCGUACUGCGACACGGUCAUGUUGUUUUGCUCCAGCUUGAUGAAAUCUACCUCUUUCAUGUGACGAAUACUUUCUGGAAAGUACUUGUCAUUGAACAGUUCUUGGAACUUCUCCCAAGUCAUCUUAAGUGCGGCAGGUUGAGUACGCUUUACAGAUUUCCACCAGUAAUCUGCCUCUGCUCGCAACAUGAAGGUGGCAAAGGGAACCUUUUGCACCUCGGAGCAUCCCAAGACAUCAAAUAUCUUGCAGGUCUGUUUUAUCCACGUCUCCGCCUUAAGUGGUUUUGGCUCUCCAAAAAACUCUGGUGGUCCCAGCUCCUUGAACUGUUUAGCAGUGACCGUCCGAGAGUUGCUAGUUUUUCCACCUGUAUUUUGGACAGGAGCCGCUCUGGCCUGAUGUUGCAUGAAUUGCAUAAAACCUCUAAACAUUUCAUCGUUCAUCAUUUGGUCAGUGUUGUUGUUUGCAUGAGGAUUGUCGCCUUCCUGAUGCACAUUAUCCUGAUUAUUAAUAUGUGGAGACUCAACGGUCUCCUGUGCUCCAUUUUUAUUCUCAACAUUCUCGGAUGUCAUUUUCAAAUACUGCCACAAAACAAGAGUUAAUUGACAUGUCACAUAUAAUCCCUAUACUCUGACCAACCAAUUAAAUAUCAAAUAAACUUAGGUAGGUCAUACUAGCGAAGGAAUUCCCNNNNNNNNNNNNNNNNNNNNNNNNNNNNNNNNNNNNNNNNNNNNNNNNNNNNNNNNNNNNNNNNNNNNNNNNNNNNNNNNNNNNNNNNNNNNNNNNNNNNUUCUCAUUUCCUGAAGAGAACAGUGAAGGAAAGGGUGAGCUCAACUAGCCCAGUAAGAAAUAUUAUGACUAAGAUAAUGCAGAAUAAAUUAUCAUUAGUCUUCAACAAUGUUAAACUGAUAAAAUACAAUAGACAUCAAGUUUAACUGCAGCGGAAUAAGCAAUCCAUUAGAAGAGUCAAGUAGAGCAUAAAAUCUACUAUCUUCUAUGAUUUAAAAAUGUUUUCAUCAAUUUUUAUCGCUGAGGCUCAGCUUAAUAAAUAAACCACAUCAUCGAAUCAUUCCUGCACUACGGCCAAGGAUAUUCAUUAAAUCAUCAAUGGUCAUGACUAUACCAAAUAAUCCCUGGUCAUAAUCAUACCAAAAAUUGUCCAUCAAUGCAUUACAGGCCACUAAGGACUUUUACCACAUCAUUCGUCACAUUACGGUCAUGAUUAUACCAAAUAAUCCCUGGUCAUAAUCAUACUAAGUCCAUCAAUGAACGUAAUCCAAAGAUGACUUUCAACAUAAUAUAAACAUGAGGAUGAUGACAAUUACAUAAUAAUUCAAUAAAACAAGUUCAAGAAUUAAUUUUAAAGAUUUAUCAGUUAAUUUAUCCUGAACUCAAUAAUGUCCAAAUUGUCAACAUGAUACUUCUCUGUGGAGUAAAAUUCAAGAAUAAUAUUCAUGCACCAAAAAUAAUUUGGACAGAAAAGAAUUAAUUUUUUGUCGUGAAUAGUACCCCAUGAAUAGUACUUCGGGAAAAAUACCUCGUGAAUAGUACCCCGACAUGAAAAGUACUCCAAAUAGCCGAGUGAAUAAUAUUCAGGUGAAUAGUAAUUUGGGUAAAUAGUAACCCGUGAAUAGUAACUCGUGAAUAGUAUUCCGGCAUGAAAAGUGCCCCGAAUACCCGAGUGAAUAAUACUAGAGUGAAUAGUAAUCGGGUGAAUAGUAACUCGUAACAGAAAAUACCAAAUAAAAUGAUAUUUCAUGACGAGUACAAAAGAAAUGAUAUCUCAUAUGAGUAUAAUAGAAUAUACGAAAGUGCAAAUGGAUGUUCAUCCACCAUGCGGUAAUUCACGUAAACAGAUCAUUUCCACAAUUUAAUAAAGAAUGAAUACGAAAGGUCAUUCACCAUGCAUGUGAUAAUCCACAAAGACAGGUUAUUCCAACAGAAUAAUAAAGAAUGGAAUAACAAAAGGAUUCAUCAUGCGUGCGAUAGACUGCACAGACAGGUUAUUCCCAAUAGAAUAAUAAAUAAUGGAACCAGGUCAUGCGUAAACGCACAGACAGGAUAUUCCGAUAGAAUAAUAAAUAAUGGAACCAGGUCCAGCGUAAACGCACAGACAUGAUAUUCCGACAGAAUAAUAAAUAAUGAAACCAGGUCCGGCGUAAACGCACAGACAGGAUAUUCCAACAGAAUAAUAAAGAACGUAAUAAUAGAAGAAUUUCACCAUGUAUGCGGUACUUUGCAUAUACAGGUUAUUCCAACAUAAUAAUAAAGAAUGGAAUAACAAAAGAAUUUUACCAUGUAUGCAGUACUUCGCAUAUCCAGGUUAUUCCAACAGAAUAAUAAGGAAUGGAAUAACAAUAGCUCUCUUCAUGAAUACAUCGGGUGAAUAACCCCUUACCUUAGAAUAAAGCUGGAUACUGGAAUAGAAAUGUAGCAGACUUCUCUUCUUCUUUCUCUCUAUAAUUUCUCUCUAUAAUUUCUCUCUAUAAUAAUUGCUCUAAAGCUUUUGUGAAUUGGUGAGAAAUGAAGGAAGAAUGAGCUUCUAUUUAUAGAAAAAUAUAGUUUCGAUAAUUGCACGUUUUGGGGCUCGAAAUAUUACAGUCUAAUACCUUCCUCUUUUCCUUCAUUUUCUGCAAGUAUUAUCAAACUUGCACCACCUCCCCUAAUAGUAAAUAAUUUGAUUCAAUAGUUCAAUCAUGUGAACCAAUAGUUAUAAUCAUGUGAAAAUAUAAAUUAUAGUAAAGUACCUCCAUUUAUAACUUAGUCAUGCAAGUAUUAUCAAUAUUGCACCAACUCCCCUAAUAGUAAGUGAAUAUGACUCAAUAGUACACAAAUGUGAACAAAUAGUUAUAUGAACAUGUGAAUUAGUAGCAAUUAAUUGCUCAUUUAUCCGGUAAAUUACCCGUUUUAUCAAUAUAACCCCCAGACAUCAAUUAUCAUCAGAAUAUAUGUCGAUUUCAACUAACACCAAUAAUCCCAACACAAUGGAACUAUCAAAUUCAUCUUUAAUCAACACGAACUUAUUCAUCAUUAAUAUUAUAACUCACAAUAUUUAACAACCAGGUCGUUCUCAGGAAAGAGGGGGCUUUCCGAUAAGGAUUUCUCCUUAUUGGCGCGCAAUUAGGUGACCAAACCUCUCCUUGACAGAACUUCUAGACAUUAUAAAUAUUGCAAUCUAAUAAUAUGAAUAACUUUUUCGUCUCAAUUAUUAAUUUAAUAAUAUAUCAUAUAAUGCAGAUGAUACUGUGUCAAUAAUCGAAUCAAUAAUAUGAGAGAUAUGAUGCAGCAAUUACUAUAGCAAUAAUUGAGUAUAACUGAGUGACUUCUCAUGUAAGCAUAAAUAAUCAAUACCGUGUGGUACUAUGUAACCACGCGUAUUACUGUACUUUUACUACCGGGUAGUUCAACAGUUUUAACAGUAACACUUCCGCCGUUAUUUUAUAAAAUGAUAAUUCUGUCAUUCUUACUAGGACAAUGAGUGUGCCGUCGUACGGAUAUUCCCCGACAAAAAGAAUAUUCCCCGACCAAACGAAUAUUAUAUAACAACUUGCAUACUUUGCAAAAUUUAAAAAUAUUAUCCACAACUAUAUCAUUAUAUCAAAUCCACACCAUAAUAUUCAAAAAAAUACUUCGAGAUACUUAAAUCUUUAUUCAUAAAAUCUGGGGUCUCACACACGCUACAAUUCUUAUAUAUAAAUCUAACAUGAAUCACUUCUCUAUUCGCAAUCUCUAUACUUAAGGGAAAUUCUAAUUAUUUCUGAGGCAAAUCUAAGUUCUGAGCAAAUUCAUCGGAUAUAAAUGAAUAAGUAGCACCCGAAUCAAAUAGUACAUAAGCAUUAAUACCAUUAAUCGGAAUGAUACCUGACACCACAUCCUUAGACUGUACAGCAUCUUGCACGAUCAUAUUGAAAGUCCUCGCAGUAGGUCGGCUUGAUUGUGUUGGUCUAGUGAUAGUCAAUGCACCACCACCGUUGUUGUUUCCUUUUCCGCCACUUGCACUUCCCGCUGGCUUCUUAAGGAAAUCACAAGCCAUGUGAUCCUUCGAACCGCAGGUAAAACAUGCUCCUUUCUUCGGACUAAAACAAUUCGGUGCAAUGUGUCCCUCCUGACCACAGUUGAAACACACUCUCUUUCCCUUCAAACAUACUCCAGUAUGGUUCUUCCCACAAGUUGCGUAAGCCUCAAACUUUUUCCUCUGUUGAUUUCCUUGUUGUCCUCCCACAGUCGAAUUUUCGCUCCAUUUCCUCUUCUGACUAUUACUUCCAACAUUACUACCACCAGCCUUAUUCUCAUUCUCAUUCUUCCUCUUCUUCUGUUCUUGGUUGUACUUGGUCAAGGCAUCGCUUCCACCUUCCGCGAUAAUUGCCUUUUCCAGCACAGCCGCAAAUGUGUUCAGCUGGAACAUUAAAACCUUGUUGUAAAGCCAGGGCUUCAAUCCUUGUUCAAAUCUUCUUGCUUUGUGUUCAUCAGUAUUGACUUGAUAAGUGGCAAACCUUGCCAACUCGUUAAACUUCGCAGCAUAUUCCAGCACCAUCAUCGUUCCUUGCUUCAACUCCAGAAAUUGCACUUCAAGCUGAUUUCGAGAACUCGUUAGAAAGUACAUUUCAAAGAACAUCUCCUUAAAUCUAUCCCACACUAUCACUCCUUGUCCUCCACGAACCUUAUUUGCUUGCCACCAGUAGCUAGCUUCAGCCUUCAGCAUGAACGUUGCGAACGCAGUCUUCUGAUCUUCGUUAACUCUAGCAACAUCGAACACCUUCUCCAUUUCCAUGAUCCAGGUUUGGGCUUCCACUGGAUUCAUAGACCCUUGAAAUUCUAGCAGUCCAACCGCUUUGAAUUCCUUGAAAGUCGUGACUUGAGCUUGCGGUUGAUUCACAAGUGCACCCGUCAACAGAGCUACCAACUGCUGAACUGGAUUAUCGCUGGUCUCGUUGUUAUUAUUAGUAGACCCCUCAGGAGGUGCUUGCUGACAUGGUUGUCUUAUUCUAGGAGGCAUUUUCUAUUAAGACAUACGCUUAUUAGCUCAUUACUCAACUUCUUGGGUAUUUAAAGUCUAUCUUAAACAUUCCAAGAUUAAAGCUUUAACACAUAGCAUUUCAAAUAAACUCUAAUAUUUUAUUCAUUAAUAAAGUUUUAAAACAUGAUAAAGAUAGCAUAAGCGAUAUAACAUCCACUUUCCUGAACAAAACACGUUUCAAGAUUACAUACUCAUACUAUCCCUUUAUUUAUCUCAAAAUAAGGGAUUCACAAUUUAUUUAUUCACAUAAUUUAACCGCAUAUUAUUAUCUAUCUUAUUCUAUCUGGGCAUAUUAAGACGUCGUAAGGCUUCCCGACGUUCCUCCUCCAUGAUACGAUAUGUCGUUCUACGAUCCAUCACUAACCACGGCGAAUUCUCAAACUGAGGUUGGUAAUAGUAGACUCGAUCCUGGGCCCUAUCAAUUGUCGAAUUAAAAAGCAUAAUCCAUCUCCUUCAUCUUGGUUUUCUUCACUUGAACCUUAGCCUCAGCACGGUCUGCACGUUGAGUCGCCUUCAUCCACGCAUCCUCUGUUCUUACACGCUUACCUGACUCCUCCUUGAAAUCAUCUUUCAAUUUCUCCAUGUCUGUAGCAUCCCCGAAUCCGGGUCCCAAAUCACCACGGAUCCGAUAUACUAUUUCAAUCACUAUUGCGGAAGAUAUAAACAUAAAUUGUUUAUACAUUAAACUUUUACACAUCAUUCCCCAAGGUCUACAACCUUAACUUAAUACAUACCUUCAAUAUCUUAGAAGAUUUACAAUACUAUUUUCAUCAGAAAAUUUAAUAAAUUUAACUACAACAUAAAGAAACUUUGCACUUUGUCUUUGCCUCUGUCCUUAUUCAAGCCUUCAUCUUAAUCUGAAAAUUUUAUCAUGAUAUAGCAAGGGUGAGCAACAAAUUUGCCCAGCAAGUUUUACAUACAAAGGAGAUAUAUCAUGAUUGAAAAGAAUGGAUAAGCUUUCAAGUUUUCAACAAUAUAAUAAUUGUGAAAUAACAUGAAUCAAUUUUUCAACGAUUGAAUGACUGAACCAAUAAUAAUGGAUGUCAACAAUUAACAUGAACAAGUUUAACUGAAACAUAUGGUAAUGAAGGUGAUCAGCCUUUCAUACCUGAUGAACAUAUACAACAUGCACAAUGUGCGAAUCAAUAAUUUAUUGACGUGGUAAAAUCAACAAUGAUUAACCACUAACAUGCUUUGAAUUAACAACUCAAGUUGAGUUAGGAAACUUGCACAAUAAUUAGAAGUUCAAGUUUAGGAACUUGCCUGUACCGUUGAUUACCGCUAAGCAAUCAAUUUAAUCUCUUAUAAAAGACCUAUCAUUAAUAAGAUCGAUCCUCCAAUUAGCAUAAUACAUUUUAUCCCACAACACUAUUACUCAAAUAAUAAAUUAGCUAACAUUUAGCCACAUAAUUAAACAUUAAAUAAUUCUUUAACUCAUUAGUAAUAUUAUUAUCCCUUAAUAAUAUUACUAUCACUUAUCCAUUAUCUUAAACUUUUGCCUAAUAUUCUUUUUAUAGAAUAUUUAUCAUUUACAAAUAUUAUUAAUCAUUUAAUAAUAUUUAAAUCCUUUACUAAUAUUAUUAAUCAUUUAAUAAUAUUGUAAUCACCUUCUAAUAUUAUUAAUCAUGUAAUAAUAUUUUACUUGUUUCAUAAAUAAUAAAGGUCUCACACAUUUUAAGAUGCAAAUACUUUACAUCUUGAAACUUAAACCAUUUAAAUUUCAUUUCAGAAAUAUCUUUUACCUCUACUCGCAAAUUCGGAGUUUAAACAGCUAAUGUAUAGCUUUUAUAGUAAAAAUCAAUUUACUAUAUUAUUUCUUCACUUUAAAUAACUUUUACUUCAGUUUGUCCGUUCAUGAGUCAACACUGACUAUUGCCUCAUAUAUAAACAUUUUAUCUCACUAGCACAUUCGCUUUAUUUUUCAUUUUACGAUUAUUCGCAUUUUUGCUUCGUUACGUAAAUCUCAGCUCAAAAACUUCAUUUUGAGCACCGAAAACCUCAAAAUAUCAUUUUUAUGAUUAAUACAAUAUUUCAAAGGUUUUACAUUCUUUGUUCCACCACAAAAUAAUUUUUAUAGGCAACUAUAUAUAUAUAUAUAUAUAUUUCUCGCUUAAAUAUGUAAUUUAUAUUUAUUACAUAUUUUUAUUGCUUUAUUUAUGCCUGAAAGAAAGUUUCUCGGCAUAAAAUAUUACUUAUAGUCAAAUUUCGCACCAUAAGACUUUAUUAGAUUAUUAUGACUUAUUAUUUCUCUAUCAUAUGCCCAAACACAUAAUAUACUUCAUUGAAUAUCAAUUUCAACAAUUACAUUGAAAAAUAUCAUAAAUCUCUUAUUAAAUCUCCCGUCAAAUAUUAUUAAUUAUGCAAUAAUAUUUUACGCUAAGGUUAUCAACCUUUUAAUUACAUUCCAAUCAAAUACUACUAAUAAUAUCUCACUACAAUACUAUUAGUCAUAUAAAAAAAAAAUUUUAAGUCAUUAAUCACAUAAAUAAACAAUUAUUUCAAUUGUUUUCCUUACCGUAAUUAAUAAACUUGUUUAAACAUUUUAAAAUGUCAUAAACAUCACAACACCUUAAACCCGACCCAAAACUUCAUUACAAACUUGCAUAAGCCAUGCUCACGGGUCUCACUUCAUACAUCGCAUUUUUCCUAUUUUUGGACACUUUUGAUUUUCGAAAUAUUUUACCCAGCCUCACAAGCCAUAACUCUCGCGUUUUAAAACAUUUUUGAGCGAUUCUUGAGCCCACGCGAAGAUAACUUCCAGGGCUACAACUUUUGUCUCACGACAUUUUUCCAAAAUCAUAACACAUCAGUCCAGAAAUUUACACAAAGGUUUCGGAAUUUGAUUAACAGUUUUGAUACACAUCUCCCGAACGCCAUAACUACCUCAUCCGGAAUCGGAAUUAGUCCGUUCCGGAGUCUAUGGAAAGCUAAAACAGAGUACUACAACAUAUCAAAAGCUCAGAAGUUUUAAAGCGUAAAAAACUGGACGAAAUUGCCCCCGUUUUUGACUGCCACGAAUCUGUCCAUUAAAACCGGGACUGUUUUGGCUAAAACAGUAACUACGCCAUGAAAACUCAACAUUUUUGAGUCCUACCACUUGGGUUAACUACUACACACAUAUAUCUAACACCCCUCUUUGACGGAUCACAAAAAAAAUUAUAGAUUUAAAACGGUGGAUUUUCAAAGUACAUAGAAAUUUUGGUUUCAAAACUAGAAAAAUUUAUAUUUUCUCUUCUUCUUUUGGUCUUCAACCAAAUCAACACCCAUCAUGGGUGGAUCCAUACAUAAAUCCAUGGAAAACACAUAGAUCUUAGGGUUUUAUACACCCAAAUCAAAAACUCCUUUCAUAAAAAUUCCAUAGAAAAAAAAAAAUUAGAGAGAGAGAGAAGUUAUACCCUUUGCUUUUCUUCUCCUUCUUCCAUGGUGAUUUCUCCUCCUCUUUGACACUCAAGGGGCUGCCGCCCCUCUCUUCUUCUCCCAUGGUUGUCGAUCUUCUGCUCUUUCUCUCUCUAUUCCUCUUUCCCGUUCUCUUUCUUUUCUUUCUUAUCCUUUUUAUUCUAAUUUCUUCUUAUCCCCCUUCUUUCUUUAAUAAAGAUCCGGCCAAGUGGCCUUAUCACUAACAUGUUGGCUUAAUUUCUUU